This is an RNA transcript of Cyanidioschyzon merolae strain 10D, 1221 nucleotides long. RefSeq lists it as hypothetical. The record is from RefSeq and is a predicted model, not a curated record. Lineage: Eukaryota; Rhodophyta; Bangiophyceae; Cyanidiales; Cyanidiaceae. The transcript has a single exon.
GUGACACCGUUCAGCUCUUGCUGAACAUGACUGACGCGCUGCUAUGUGACGACCUGUACAAAAGCUUAAUAUAAUUUUGAGAGGGAAACCAGGGCUGCUGCCCUCUUGGAACGCUCCGGGCUGCUGUUACCUGCGUCAGGAGUAGUACUAGGUUUCGAGGUAGCAGACUGUCAGGGUACGCAGUGUGGGACUUGAAAACCUACUUUAACCCGUUCAGGGACUGGAAUCCCACUCUGCAGACACUGUUACUAGGUACGCUGGGGUUUCCUGGGUUCCAAAACGCUUUUCUGGUGCAGGACUGGCGUCUGACAGGACGGUGAGCGUCUGGCGCUAAGAUAGGCUGUUUGGUGCCGUACAGGCUUCAGAGACUCACGCCAGAGUAUUUGUCGUGGCCGGAAAUUGCGCAGGGGGCCAUAAUCUGUGUGGGGAACUAUCUCAUGGUCAGAUACUCUCGGCAGUUUACCCGCAGUCUGUCAUCUCGAGCCCCUCUGCUGACCGAGAUAGACCCGCAUUCCUGCGGGUAUGGGCGUAGUUGCUUAUUUUUCAGAACAUGGCACUCAAAUAUACUUUUGGUGAUUCGCUAUAGUCCUCCGUUAGUUGAAUAUAUGCUCGAAACUGUCACCUGAAAGGGUCAAGGUUGUAAGACAGCUUCCAACCUGCCCUGUGGCCCGUGCACGCUAUACGAGCAGCCUGCAAGCUAGAUGACCGUAAGAUGGACACGGUCUUGUUGGACAAAUUCGGUUCAUACCAUCACGGGGAUUUCGAGCACUAGUGAGUCCAAAAUUCGUCGUAUCCAUCUAGAACGAGUUUCCGUAUAGCAUACGAAAGCUAUGAGUGGCUGGCAAUUUUUCGCCGCGCAAAAUUCAAGCAGCUCAUGUGUCCCAGAUCUGGGAAGGCUGCUGCUAGAAAACGCAUAAUCAUAUACCUCAUAUGAAAAGAGAUUCAGCAGCGUCGCUUCCGCGAAUACGGACUUGCAAUGGAGUCGAUCUCGACUCUGAAGUGGACGUCCCGCGAAACGCCAUAGAUUAGCGCUCGCUGCAGGUUGUAUGUGUGCCCUUUUCAGCCUGAACCGCGAUACGUGUACUGCGAACAACGAGCAGUAUAGAAAGUUGUUCCCAACGCCCCCAUGUGGAGUCUAAGAUUUCGUCGCACUCUUCUUGGACUGGCGAGUGAGGGCAGCCCACCAAUGUUUUCAUCAUUACAUAAAUCGUAGCUAAAAGU